This is a long non-coding RNA of Polypterus senegalus (gray bichir), 786 nucleotides long. RefSeq lists it as uncharacterized. Lineage: Eukaryota; Metazoa; Chordata; Cladistia; Polypteriformes; Polypteridae. The transcript is spliced from 4 exons. The record is from RefSeq and is a predicted model, not a curated record.
CUUGAUUCAUUCAGCAUUUAAAACCUUGUGUGUGCAGAAUUUUCCUUAUUCCUUUACUGGGAUAUUUUAGUUUAUUUUUUUAAUUGUAUAUAGUGAUGUUCAGCAGAUAAAACAUGUUAGUGAAGUUUGCAAUUUAAUUUGCCACAAUAAACUGGGUGCUGCUGGCACAGUGGUCCCACAUUCACAUGUAUGGUUUGUGGCAUGGAGUGCCAGGGGGAUGGUGGCGAGGGGGCACCUGAUGUAAUCUUCUCGAGGUCACCAAAUGACUCCAGGACCACCACUUUUUCCACUCAUGUGAUUCAAGAGAAGCUUUGCAGCAAGGGUCACACUCAAGUCACUGUGAUCAAUGUGACUGACUACUGAAAUGAAAACUAGAGAGCUGAGAGAUGCCAGUUCACAGUAUUAAUCCAUUGGACCGAAGACCCCUCGAGUGUACAGUGCCAAGCAGACACCCAGUUAAGACAACUGAAUCUUCCCCUUCCAGUCCCCCCACUACAUAUCCUGCAGUUCCUGAAAGGAGGUGUCACUCAUUACAAGAAUACACCACUGGAAGGAGUUCUUUCUCACCAUGACUCUCACAGGCUUUACCUGCCGAGAAAGGUUCCUCACAAUAGGACCCUAAUUAUUGUGCAUUUAGCAACAUAGAGUGUGCAUUUUGUUUGGAGAACUAUUAUAAUUAAAUGGGGUUGGCGCCCCAAUAUUUUCAGCUUGUGGACCUGCAAUUCCUUCCAGCAAACACUAUAUACUGUACAUAUUUUUGUAUUAUAUAUACUGUAUAUAUAAAAA